UGGCUGUCCUGCUGUGUGACUCACAGGGAGAGCCAGGGCAAGUUGCUUCACUACACUUCUCCUUUUUUUUUUUUUUUUUUACAUUUUCAACAGCAGCCAUUGCCUCGCUUUCUCUUCUUCUCCUUUUCAGUUUAGUUUUAUCGCUGUGAGUGGGAGAGGUAGAGGGCAGGUCAGUGUUCCACACCUCCUGUACCGCACUGGGUCCCGCUGCUCUCUGGAGGCACACCCUUACUUGGAUUAUUUUUCUUUCAUUUGCAGUUGUCUCGGUUUCCCCCUGUGUUUUUAAGUCAUUCAGAUCUGUCACUUGUUCCACUGUUAACAUGGAGUCUGACACAUAAGCCCUGUGUCUUUGAGGGGGAAGAUAGAGUCGUUUGUGGUGAAGAUCAGAUCACACCUUCCUAUUGAUAACGUUCCCGGUUAUUCAACAUCAGGACUGUGAGCUGAGGGGGCGGAAUCUUUCCAACUCUGUGAGUAGGGUUGGUAGUGUCAAUCAAAUAUCAUAUAAAAUGGUAUUUGUCACAUGCUUUGUAAACAACAGGUGUAGACUAACAGUGAAAUGCAGAGGUAAAGAUUAAACAAAUCAUUUGGAAAUAGUGACACAAGGAAUAAAUACACAGUGAAUAACGAAUAACAAUAACGAGUAAAAAAUAACAUGGCUAUAUACAGGGAGUACCAGUACUGAGUCGAUGUGCAGAGGUAUGAGGUAAUAACAUGGCUAUAUACAGGGAGUACCAGUACUGAGUCGAUGUGCAGAGGUAUGAGGUAAUAACAUGGCUAUAUACAGGGAGUACCAGUACCGAGUCGAUGUGCAGAGGUAUGAGGUAAUAACAUGGCUAUAUACAGGGAGUACCAGUACCGAGUCGAUGUGCAGGGGACGAAGUAAUUGAGUAGCUAUGUACAUAUACAGCAACAGGGUGCCUUGGGUAAUAGGAGUCACAGCAAGGCUAGUUACUGAUAUACCAUCGUCUUGAAAAAUAGUCAGUCAAUAUUAGGAUUCUUUCUUAGAAAGGACAUCUGGUGAAGUGAGUCAGCAGGAUACUGCAGGAGUAUGUUGCUUGUCUUUACAGAUCAACCGUAACCCACUUCCCAUUAAAACCUCAAUGAUUCAGUAGCGCCUCUUGCUAUCUGUCUUGCUAUGAUAUCUAUCAUGGAAACAUCACAGGUACGUGGGCGGCAAGAGACGGAUUGUUUUUCUGAAAUGUAUAGGUUCAGUAAUUGAUGGCUUACUCAUACAGACGACAUGGCUUUUCUUGUUUAGUGAAGAGAUGGUAGGUGGAAUAUUGACAUUUCCACCAACUGACAUCUCCAAAGAGGACAGUAUAGUUCUGUGGCCUCUGCACAUGCAUAUACAGCAUCAUGUUUCCAGCUGUGUUGGUCCGGUCCCA
This is a long non-coding RNA of Oncorhynchus tshawytscha (Chinook salmon), 1385 nucleotides long. The record is from Ensembl. NCBI's taxonomy places the organism in Eukaryota, Metazoa, Chordata, Actinopteri, Salmoniformes, Salmonidae.